RNAcentral lists this ribosomal RNA (253 nucleotides) under uncultured bacterium. RNAcentral describes it as "partial 16S ribosomal RNA". It matches the Rfam family "Bacterial small subunit ribosomal RNA", at positions 524 to 776 of the family's 1533-position model. The record is from RNAcentral.
UACGGGGGGGGCAAGCGUUGUUCGGAAUUACUGGGCGUAAAGGGCGUGUAGGCGGCUUUGCAAGUCGGGUGUGAAAGCCCUCAGCUCAACUGAGGAAGUGCGCCCGAAACUGCAGAGCUUGAGUGCCGGAGAGGGUGGCGGAAUUCCCCAAGUAGAGGUGAAAUUCGUAGAUAUGGGGAGGAACACCGGUGGCGAAGGCGGCCACCUGGACGGUAACUGACGCUGAGACGCGAAAGCGUGGGGAGCAAACAGG